RNAcentral lists this ribosomal RNA (253 nucleotides) under uncultured bacterium. Its description in RNAcentral is "partial 16S ribosomal RNA". It matches the Rfam family "Bacterial small subunit ribosomal RNA", at positions 524 to 776 of the family's 1533-position model. The record is from RNAcentral.
UACGUAGGGUGCAAGCGUUGUCCGGAAUUAUUGGGCGUAAAGAGCUCGUAGGCGGUCUGUUGCGUCGGCUGUGAAAACCCGGGGCUCAACCCCGGGCCUGCAGCCGAUACGGGCAGACUAGAGUUCGGCAGGGGAGACUGGAAUUCCUGGUGUAGCGGUGAAAUGCGCAGAUAUCAGGAGGAACACCGGUGGCGAAGGCGGGUCUCUGGGCCGAUACUGGCGCUGAGGAGCGAAAGCGUGGGGAGCGAACAGG